GGUCUGCCAGCCUGCGCAUGCGCGUGUUGUGUUAGCGGAAGUGGUCUGGGAUGGCCCGCCGUAGACGGUGAGAGUCCGGUACGUGAAAACAUGAUGGGUGUGUGUGGAUGUCGUUCCCGAGUAGCAGCGGGCUCGUGGAAUCUGCUGUGAAUCUGCCGGGACCACCCGGUAAGCCUGAAUACUCUUUGUGACCGAUAGCGGAUAGUACCGUGAGGGAAUGGUGAAAAGUACCCCGGGAGGGGAGUGAAAUAGUACCUGAAACCGUGCGCUUACAAUCCGUCAGAGCCUCGUUGUGGGGUGAUGGCGUGCCUUUUGAAGAAUGAGCCUGCGAGUCAGCGGCACGUCGCGAGGUUAACCCGUGUGGGGUAGCCGUAGCGAAAGCGAAUACUAACUAGUGUGGUUGAGUGGCGUGUCCUGGACCCGAAGCGGGGUGAUCUACCCAUGGCCAGUGUGAAGCGAUGGUAAGACGUCGUGGAGGCGCGAACCCACUUAGGUUGAAAACUGAGGGGAUGAGCUGUGGGUAGGGGUGAAAGGCCAAUCAAACUCCGUGAUAGCUGGUUCUCCCCGAAAUGCAUUUAGGUGCAGCGUCGUGUGUUUCUUGCCGGAGGUAGAGCUACUGGUUGGUUUAGCGGGACUACCAUCUUAGCGACAUCAGCCAAACUCCGAAUGCCGGUAAGUGAGAGCGCGGCAGUGAGACUGCGGGGGAUAAGCUUCGUGGUCGAGAGGGAAACAGCCCGGAUCGCCGGCUAAGGCCCCUAAGAGUGUACUAAGUGGAAAAGGAUGUGGGAUCGCGAAGACAGCCAGGAGGUUGGCUUAGAAGCAGCCAUCCUUGAAAGAGUGCGUAAUAGCUCACUGGUCGAGUGGUUCUGCGCCGACAAUGUAGUGGGGCUCAAGUACACCGCCGAAGCCGCGGAACUUCCAUCUUUUGGUGGGGGUUGGUAGGGGAGCGUCGUGUGGCCGGUGAAGGUGCGGGGUGACCCAGUGCUGGAGGCCAUGCGAGUGAGAAUGCAGGCAUGAGUAGCGAAUGACGAGUGAGAAACUCGUCCGCCGGAUGACUAAGGGUUCCUGGGUCAAGCUAAUCUUCCCAGGGUGAGUCGGGGCCUAAGGCGAGGCCGACAGGCGUAGUCGAUGGAUAACGGGUUGAUAUUCCCGUACCCGUCUGUGUGCGACCAUGGUGAAUCGGUGAUACUAACCACCCGUGUGUGCUGCUGUUUCCGGUCUUUAGCCGGUUGGUGGUGCAUGUGCGUGGGACCUGAGCUGGUAGUAGCCAAGUGAUGGGGUGACGCAGGAAGGUAGCCGAGCCACUUAUUGGAUUGUGGUGUAAGCGUGUGGCCCGUCAGCCUGGUAAAUCCGGUUGGCAUGAGGGUGAGGCGUGAUGCGUACCCGUUUGCGGGGAUGUCGGUGAUCCUAUGCUGUCGAGAAAAGCCUCUAGCGAUGUGCACAUUCGGCCCGUACCCAUAACCGACACAGGUGGUCAGGUAGAGAAUACUAAGGCGAUCGGGUGAACUGUGGUUAAGGAACUCGGCAAAAUGCCCCCGUAACUUCGGGAGAAGGGGGACCACUGCUGGUGACAGACUGGUUUUGAGCUGGUGGUGGUCGCAGAGAAUAGAGGGAAGCGACUGUUUACUAAAAACACAGGUCCGUGCGAAGACGGUAAGUCGAUGUAUACGGACUGACGCCUGCCCGGUGCUGGAAGGUUAAGAGGACCUGUUAGACCCUUGUGGUCGAAGCGGAGAAUUUAAGCCCCAGUAAACGGCGGUGGUAACUAUAACCAUCCUAAGGUAGCGAAAUUCCUUGUCGGGUAAGUUCCGACCUGCACGAAUGGCGUAACGACUUCCCUGCUGUCUCAACCACAGGCCCGGCGAAAUUGCAGUACGAGUAAAGAUGCUCGUUACGCGCGGCAGGACGA
This 1909-nucleotide ribosomal RNA is filed under the name Corynebacterium bovis. Its description in RNAcentral is "partial 23S ribosomal RNA". It matches the Rfam family "Bacterial large subunit ribosomal RNA", at positions 303 to 2083 of the family's 2925-position model. The record is from RNAcentral. Lineage: Bacteria; Bacillati; Actinomycetota; Actinomycetes; Mycobacteriales; Corynebacteriaceae.